AAGUGCGAAUGCUGACAUAAGUAACGAUAAAACGGGUGAAAAACCCGUUCGCCGGAAGACCAAGGGUUCCUGUCCAACGUUAAUCGGGGCAGGGUGAGUCGGCUCCUAAGGCGAGGCUGAAAAGCGUAGUCGAUGGGAAACAGGUUAAUAUUCCUGUACUUGGUAAAGCUGCGAUGUGGGGACGGAGUAGGUUAGGUUAUCGCACUGUUGGAUAUGUGCGUUUAAGUUGGUAGGUGGGAAGUUUAGGCAAAUCCGGACUUCCUUAACACAGAGAGAUGAUGACGAGGCUCUACGGAGCUGAAGUAACUGAUACCACACUUCCAGGAAAAGCCACUAAGCGAAAGGCUUUACUAAACCGUACUGAAAACCGACACAGGUGGUCAGGUAGAGAAUACUCAGGCGCUUGAGAGAACUCGGGUGAAGGAACUAGGCAAAAUAGCACCGUAACUUCGGGAGAAGGUGCGCUUACAGUAAUUGUAGUCCCUUACGGAUGAAGGUGAAGUAAGUCGAAGUGACCCGCUGGCUGCAACUGUUUAUUAAAAACACAGCACUCUGCAAACACGAAAGUGGACGUAUAGGGUGUGAUGCCUGCCCGGUGCUGGAAGGUUAAUUGAUGGUGUAAUCGCAAGAGAAGCACCUGAUCGAAGCCCCAGUAAACGGCGGCCGUAACUAUAACGGUCCUAAGGUAGCGAAAUUCCUUGUCGGGUAAGUUCCGACCUGCACGAAUGGCAUAAUGAUGGCCAGGCUGUCUCCACCCGAGACUCAGUGAAAUUGAAAUCGCCGUGAAGAUGCGGUGUACCCGCGGCUAGACGGAAAGACCCCGUGAACCUUUACUAUAGCUUGACACUGAACAUUGAAUUUUGAUGUGUAGGAUAGGUGGGAGCCUUUGAAGCAGUGACGCCAGUCAUUGUGGAGGCGAGCUUGAAAUACCACCCUUUAACGUUUGAUGUUCUAACGAAGAUGACGAAACGUGGUCUCGGACAGUGUCUGGUGGGUAGUUUGACUGGGGCGGUCUCCUCCCAAAGCGUAACGGAGGAGCACGAAGGUUUGCUAAUCACGGUCGGACAUCGUGAGGUUAGUGCAAUGGUAUAAGCAAGCUUAACUGCGAGACAGACAAGUCGAGCAGGUACGAAAGUAGGUCAUAGUGAUCCGGUGGUUCUGAAUGGAAGGGCCAUCGCUCAACGGAUAAAAGGUACUCCGGGGAUAACAGGCUGAUACCGCCCAAGAGUUCAUAUCGACGGCGGUGUUUGGCACCUCGAUGUCGGCUCAUCACAUCCUGGGGCUGAAGUAGGUCCCAAGGGUAUGGCUGUUCGCCAUUUAAAGUGGUACGCGAGCUGGGUUUAGAACGUCGUGAGACAGUUCGGUCCCUAUCUGCCGUGGGCGUAGGAGAAUUGGUUGGGGCUGCUCCUAGUACGAGAGGACCGGAGUGGACGCACCACUGGUGUUCCGGUUGUGUCGCCAGACGCAUUGCCGGGUAGCUAAGUGCGGAAGAGAUAAGUGCUGAAAGCAUCUAAGCACGAAACUUGCCAAGAGAUGAGUUCUCCCAAUCUAAGAGAUAGUAAGGGUUGUUGUAGACUACGACGUAGAUAGGUCUGGUGU
This 1599-nucleotide ribosomal RNA is filed under the name Haemophilus influenzae. RNAcentral describes it as "partial 23S ribosomal RNA". It matches the Rfam family "Bacterial large subunit ribosomal RNA", at positions 1286 to 2868 of the family's 2925-position model. The record is from RNAcentral. Lineage: Bacteria; Pseudomonadati; Pseudomonadota; Gammaproteobacteria; Pasteurellales; Pasteurellaceae.